This is a long non-coding RNA of Cannabis sativa, 1034 nucleotides long. RefSeq lists it as uncharacterized. The record is from RefSeq and is a predicted model, not a curated record. Lineage: Eukaryota; Viridiplantae; Streptophyta; Magnoliopsida; Rosales; Cannabaceae. The transcript has 2 exons.
UAUGAUAGUUUUCUUUUUCUUUUUUAAUACUUCACAAUUUUUUUUUAAAAUAAUAAUAAUAAUAAUAAAACAUAGUUUCGAGAAACAUAGACAAACAUGCAGAGACUAAAUUCCCGAUCCUCCAAUUGAUCGAUAGACCAUCAAGCAUGACCGAUAGCUCAUCAGGCAUUCUUUCUUGAUCUCAAAUAUGUUGGUUGGUUUGGGAAAAUUAUUGGUCAAUGUCACUAUCUGUGAUAAAAAAGUAUUAAGUACAAUAAAUAUACUUGAAAGCUUCUCCUCAACAAAUAUGACGGUCCCCUCAGGCUCAUCAUUGCUCUUUACAGUAAUCUUUUCAGUAUUAGAAGACAAUCAUUAAUUCUAUAAUUAAAUUAUGUCCACUUUUUAAUCAUCCCAGAUCAGUUUUGAAAGAAUGAAUUAAAAGUAAAAAUAGAGGAGAAAAAAAGUUGAUAGUGGCGCACAGACACAGUUUUGGAUGAUAUUGGAAGGUGGAGAACACUUGAAAGAGCCAUAUAGCACAGUGUUCUUAUUACCGUAGAAGAUCGUUCAAGGGUAACUUCGGGGUUGUUGCAGUGAUAAUUUGGGAUCACGGGUUCAGUGGUGGAGGCUUUUUCGGUUGAAAGGAUGGUGAUGUCUUCCUUUGAAGCAGAACUGGUGGCAAUCCAGCAGGGGUGCUGCAGAAUUCUACAGCAAGGUUGGUCGAAUGUCUCUAUUUUCUCGGAUUGCAAAUGGCGGUGAAGGGUCUGCUGGCUGGUAAGUCGCCUGUGUGGUUGGCUCGGGGACUGUUUGAUGCCACUCUCAACAACCUUUCUAAGAUUUAUGAGGUGCGGCUAUGUUGUUAGCCUAAUUCUAGUGCUCAUAAUUAAUUUAGGAGCUUGGGCUGCUUAUAAUGGUAGUUUUAAGAUGUUUUCUGGUAUGUAUGGAAGUGGCACCCUUUGUUGCCACUGUUAACUUUCGUCUGUAGGGCCUUGUUUUGUUUUCAAUAAAAAUUGGCUAGGAUCUAUUAAUCAAUAAAUUGGCUCCUUCUCGAAACUUUA